RNAcentral lists this long non-coding RNA (1933 nucleotides) under Homo sapiens (human). RNAcentral describes it as "HSALNT0347901". The record is from RNAcentral. Lineage: Eukaryota; Metazoa; Chordata; Mammalia; Primates; Hominidae.
GUUCUGAGCUGCAAGAGCCCAGCUACUCGCCGAACCCGGGCCGCCUGCGUUCAAUCUUUGGGAUCAUCAGCAUGGAAUCUUCAUUAUCCCCUCUCUCCUGGGCACCUGCUUCCCGCGCACCUGGAUGAGGACCAGAGGAAUUCGCGAAUUUCCGAAUCACCGCAGGAAAAACCAGCUGGCCUGAAUCAAAGCAAUUCUGGGUAAAAGACUUCCCAGAUGAUCUCUCAACGCCUUGGCAACGCUUGGCGACUGGGAGCUAGAACCAUGAGUUGUUAAUGUGUGCACGGAAGCCACAAGUGUGCAGGACGCAAGCUGGGUUAUUGGAAGCGGACGACACCAAGGAGGCGUUGCCGCGGAUGUGGUGGACGAUGCCAAGUCGUCUUUUAAAAAAGGAAGUGAAGAAUGAUUAAGAGGGUCACGCCCUCUACCACUCCAACCUCUCUAAUCAGUCUCUUUCUGCUCCGUCUGCUGUACAUGCACCUGCUCAGGUGAGACCUCAAGGAAAAAUAAUCCUGUGGGUCCACCUAAUCUGGAAAAUCAAGUCUUCCAAUUUUUUUUCACUAAUAUUAUGUGGGUGUGGAAGGGGAAGGAAGGAAAUUAUCCAACUGUUUCCUGCAGGCAGAGCAAGUCCUUACAGAGCAGGCUGCCCUCAGUGAUGAUGAGUUUUGGAUCUCCCAGAACAUCCCACCUCUUAAAUGUGUAGCGUCUUGUAAGUAUCCUUCCCAAUCAAGUUUAUUCAUAGCUUACUGAGUUCUGUCUCUCCUUCUCUGUUAAAUGGCUUUAUUGAGAUAUAAUUCAUAAAUAAAAAAACUGCACGUUUGAUAUGUGCAGUUUGAUGUGUUUGGAUCUAUGUAUACAUUGGCAAUACUAUCACCACAAUCAAGAUAAUAAACAUAUCCAUCAUCUCCAAAAGUUUCCCUGUGUCUCCUCAACUCCAUACUUUUUUGUGUUAAAAGCACUUAGCAGGACGAUCUGGGGAGGAGCAGUCCCUGGGAUCACUGUGUUUAUCUGUUGUCUCUGUACCCCACUUUAAAGUGUCCGAAAGUUUUCUCACACAGUAAUGUAAUCAACCCCAUUUUGUGGCUGUGGAAAUUGUCAGGCACAAAGGUUAAGCAAAUUAGCCAAGGCCAUGAAGCAGAUGAGUGAGACACCUGGGAGUGGAUCCAGGACUCACAACUGCUCAGUUGAUAUAUUGCCUUCCAUUGCUUCACAAGGCUGCGAGCUGUCCUGCUUCUUCCCAACACACUUGACUGAAGUCAGGUAUUUAAGUUUCUAUAUCUAAGCUGAAGUCAACAGUAUUUCCAUAAGUAGGAUCUUGUCACAACAGAAAAAAUGAAUUAUAAGCAAUGAAUAGAGGUGAAAUAUAUUCAUUCAGAGUCAGUGUGAAUACAUUCCAUCUUUCUUCACUUCCUUUAACCUCUCAUUUUCUCCAGGCUGCUUACAAAUGUAUUCAAUGUGUUAACAAAAAAAUUUAAUAAAGACAUUGCCAGAAUAUCAGCAUUGGGAACAAAGAAAAAUACUUUCUAUUUGGUGUUAGCAUAACUGUGCAUUUUAACUAGGUGUAUAUCUCUCUGUGUAUAAUUAACAUGCUAUUUGUAAAUAAAGUCAAAUAUUAAAUAUAUGAAGUCACCAUUUUGAUUUAUGUUUUUCUACAAAGCACAACCACUCUCUAACAAAUAUGUAUCUGACAGAUUGAUCAAUUAUGGUCUCUACCAGGUCAAAUGAGCUCACUUCCCUUCAAACCUUACAAGCCUAAGCAAUAAUGUGGUCUCCCAGACACAAAGAGGAAACAGCAAGCUUCUCUACUCCAUCGUGAUUGUUUCCUGGGCAAGCGUGUUUCCCAGCUGCAAUCAUAGAUGCCCCAAAAUGAUGCCAGUGUCAGACCCUGCCGUGCUGUAGCUCCCUUCAGGGGACAUCUCAACUGCUAUUUUCC